CAGUGGAGACCAGUGUGUGCGCGCGCACUGGGUGUGCUGGCCGUCGUGGCGUUUGUAUGUGCAGGAGUGCUGCAGCUGCAUGCGACUUUGAGUCUGCUCUGGCUAGGCUGCAUGUUAGCGUCGUUAGUUGGGCACCUGGCCAGGUUGUUAGUAGUGCGUGAGUUGAAGUUUGUUAGCUUACCGCGUACGUAGCUGGAGGAGUUGUGCAUGCAGUAGCUGCUGUUACGAUCGGAUAGAAUGAGCUGCGUAGAGCGCGUUUGUGCGCGUCGUGCGCGCGGCCGGAUCGAGCGGCAGAGUGGAGAGCACGUUUGCCGUGCGUAUAAGGCUCUCCGUUAUGUAUUGCUGCCAGUGGGCGAGCCGGUGUGAGAAGAAAGAAAAGAUUGAGCCGUACGUGCGGCUAGGCGUUCGUCGCCGGAAAACUUCUGUUGUCUCUUGCUCCUUCUUCUACCUCCAUCCGCAGAGAGAGAGAGAGAGCUAGCUAGGCCUGCCCCAACAUUUGGUAUACAGAGCUUUGUUGCGAUCCACUACGUCGACCAUGUCCAUCGUCCCGUACGGCGCCGGAGGGAGCACGGUGUCGCUCCCCGUGCCGAUGCUCACCGGUGACAACUACACCGUGUGGGCGAUCAAGGUGGAGGCGAACCUCGACGCGCAAGGGCUGUGGGAAGCGGUGGUUUCGGCGGAGGACUCGGCGGCGGCGGUCAUCGCGAAGAAGGACAAGCCGGCGAGGGCAUACCUCCUCGGAGCGCUCUCCGAAGACAUCCUGCUGCAGGUGUCGUCGAAGAAGACGGCGGCAGAGCUGUGGGCGAGCCUCAAGACGCGGUUCGUCGGCGCAGACCGGGUGAGGGCGGCGCGGCUCUCUACUCUCCGCGGCGAGUUCGAUCGCAUGCGCAUGGAGGACGGCGACGAGCUGGACGCGUACGCCGGGAGGAUCAGCGGCAUGGCGGCAAGGUACGCGGCCCUCGGAGCAACGCUCGACGACGCGACAAUGGUGAAGAAACUGCUCGACACCGUGCCGGACCGGCUGUAUGCAGCGGUGGCCGGAAUUGAGCAGUUCUGCGACGUCGACGACAUGCCGUUCGAGGAGGCGCUUGGGCGGCUGAAGGCGUUCGAGGAGCGGACGAGGCGGCGCACUCAGGACAGCGGCGGACGAGGCGGCGACCAGCUCAUGCUCACGGCGGCUCAAUGGGAGACGCGGCAACGUCAGCAAGGCGGCAAGUUCGACAACGACGAUGUUGACGCGGGCAGCACGGCGUCGGGCAGCAGAGGAAGGCGGCGUGGUCGGUGCUACAACUGCGGUGUGCGUGGGCAUUUCUCCCGCGACUGCUGGAAGCCAAAGAAGGCGACGGAAGAGAAGGCUCUCUUUGCCGACAUCGACGACGACGGACCUGCACUGCUGUAGGUCGUGUAUUAGGGGGAGAUUGUUAGGAAAAUAAAACACGACGCAGCAGUGGAGACCAGUGUGUGCGCGCGCACUGGGUGUGCUGGCCGUCGUGGCGUUUGUAUGUGCAGGAGUGCUGCAGCUGCAUGCGACUUUGAGUCUGCUCUGGCUAGGCUGCAUGUUAGCGUCGUUAGUUGGGCACCUGGCCAGGUUGUUAGUAGUGCGUGAGUUGGAGUUUGUUAGCUUACCGCGUACGUAGCUGGAGGAGUUGUGCAUGCAGUAGCUGUUGUUACGAUCGGAUAGAAUGAGCCGCGUGAAGCGCGUUUGUGCGCGUCGUGCGCGCGGCCGGAUCGAGCGGCAAAGUGGAGGGCACGUUUGCCGUGCGUAUAAGGCUCUCCGUUAUGUAUUGCUGCCAGUGGGCGAGCCGGUGUGAGAAGAAAGAAAAGAUUGAGCCGUACGUGCGGCUAGGCGUUCGUCGCCGGAAAA
This 1864-nucleotide long non-coding RNA is filed under the name Hordeum vulgare. RNAcentral describes it as "long non-coding RNA (HVUL_LNC013922)". The record is from RNAcentral. Lineage: Eukaryota; Viridiplantae; Streptophyta; Magnoliopsida; Poales; Poaceae.